CUGCUUAUCUGGCAUGGGAGAGACUAUGAUCACAAACAUAGUUUCCUAGGGUGAGGCUCAUCCACCUAGGCUGACCCCUUUUAUCUCCCUAAACACAGGAAACUCAACUACAUAAUUUGUGGUAGUGAGAAAUGGCAUUCAUGCUCUCCCUGU
Molecule: small nuclear RNA, 153 nt
Organism: Cricetulus griseus (Chinese hamster)
Lineage: Eukaryota; Metazoa; Chordata; Mammalia; Rodentia; Cricetidae
Gene: U1
Rfam family: U1 spliceosomal RNA
About the family: U1 is a small nuclear RNA (snRNA) component of the spliceosome (involved in pre-mRNA splicing). Its 5' end forms complementary base pairs with the 5' splice junction, thus defining the 5' donor site of an intron.
Source: Ensembl